GGAAUUUUGUCCUAGCCAGUUGCCUCAAGGAUCUUAUGUCUACAGGGAUGGGAUGAAGCUCUCACUGUCAUGGCAUAUGAAUACAAAAGAAUAGGCUGGACUUAAUGAAUGGCACUAGAGUUUACAGCCAUAGCACCGAGAGGCACAAAUUGGACAUGAAGAAGAAUUUAAGAAGAAUUUCUACUUGGAAGGAGAGGACAGAUGUUAAUCCAAGGCUGAAGCAGAGCAGCUGACCUUCCGCGUACCUCCAUGUUGCUGAAAUAUUGAUUGAUUCAGGAGCUAAUCUGGAAAGUGGUGGCUUUGAUCUUAAAAAAAAUUACUCACCCUCACUAAAAUACACAAAAGAGGGAAUCUUAGGGUCUUGUCCCAACAGAUGUGUAACAUAGAAUAUGAGUGAUUGUUAUAAGAGUGUGUUUGAUAGUUUUACGAUAGCUUAUCUCCACACAUUCUGACUGUGUGGGAGGUAGGCAGCCAGUGAGGAAGCCCAGUGAGACCUCCUUCUAAAGAUGACACCCAUGCUUCAUCUGAGGGACCAGUGUGAGGACAGCAGAGCACUCCAGGUGGGACAUGUGAUAAUGCCACAUAUAGUAUGACUUGAUUAGCAAGAACUCAAACUAAAUUGAACUUCUACUGUUUAUAAAUUUGGCAACAUGGAGUUUCAAGCACAGACUAACCAAGGCAAUUUGUGCACUUUCUACAUGAUGCUUCAGCAGUGACUCAGGCCUCUAAUAGAUG
Long non-coding RNA from Phasianus colchicus (ring-necked pheasant), 735 nucleotides. RefSeq lists it as uncharacterized. The record is from RefSeq and is a predicted model, not a curated record. NCBI's taxonomy places the organism in Eukaryota, Metazoa, Chordata, Aves, Galliformes, Phasianidae.